Molecule: ribosomal RNA, 676 nt
Filed under: Achromobacter xylosoxidans
Lineage: Bacteria; Pseudomonadati; Pseudomonadota; Betaproteobacteria; Burkholderiales; Alcaligenaceae
Description: bacterial SSU rRNA
Rfam family: Bacterial small subunit ribosomal RNA
Source: RNAcentral
CCACGCCCUAAACGAUGUCAACUAGCUGUUGGGGCCUUCGGGCCUUGGUAGCGCAGCUAACGCGUGAAGUUGACCGCCUGGGGAGUACGGUCGCAAGAUUAAAACUCAAAGGAAUUGACGGGGACCCGCACAAGCGGUGGAUGAUGUGGAUUAAUUCGAUGCAACGCGAAAAACCUUACCUACCCUUGACAUGUCUGGAAUCCCAAAGAGAUUAGGGAGUGCUCGCAAGAGAACCGGAACACAGGUGCUGCAUGGCUGUCGUCAGCUCGUGUCGUGAGAUGUUGGGUUAAGUCCCGCAACGAGCGCAACCCUUGUCAUUAGUUGCUACGAAAGGGCACUCUAAUGAGACUGCCGGUGACAAACCGGAGGAAGGUGGGGAUGACGUCAAGUCCUCAUGGCCCUUAUGGGUAGGGCUUCACACGUCAUACAAUGGUCGGGACAGAGGGUCGCCAACCCGCGAGGGGGAGCCAAUCCCAGAAACCCGAUCGUAGUCCGGAUCGUAGUCUGCAACUCGACUACGUGAAGUCGGAAUCGCUAGUAAUCGCGGAUCAGAAUGUCGCGGUGAAUACGUUCCCGGGUCUUGUACACACCGCCCGUCACACCAUGGGAGUGGGUUCCACCAGAAGUAGUUAGCCUAACCGCAAGGAGGGCGAUUACCACGGUGGGGUUCAUGACU